CAUUUUUACUUUUUUCAGCGUACAAUUCAGUGGUGUUUUUAGUUUAUUCAUAGUAUUGCACAACCGUCACCAUUAUACAAUUCCAAACAUUUUCAUCAGCCAAAAAGAAACCUCACACCCAUCAGGCUAUUUUCCCUCCCGGCAAUAACUAAGCUACUUUCCACACAUUAUAUGAUUCCAUGAAUAUGAAGUAUGCCUAUGCAUGGAGUCAUACGACAGGGUGCAACAGUCCUUUGUGACUGACUUCUUUCCCCUAAUGUAAUGUUUUCAAGGUUCAUGCAUGUAAUAGCAUGCAUCAGUACUUCGUUGCUUUUUGUGGUCGAAUAAUAUUCCAUUGCAUGAAUAUAUUUAAUUUUAAUUUUUGAUACAAUUUUUCUUUGUUCCCUUACUGCAGGUCUCUUUUACACUGGUCAGUUUAGUGAACUCUCUCCAGCUUGGACUGCUGACCUGUGACCUCCCAUUAUUCAAACCAGGCUGACAUAUGUGGGCAUCUGGAGGCCCUCAGCUUCAUUCCCUCACUUCUAAGCAUCACCUCCUGAAAUCAAGAUGCUUCAUGAGUGUGUCAAGGUCAUCACGAUGAGUAUGGAUUAUGGUUCUGGAGAAUUCAACAGAUGGCGAACAGGGUUGGCAAUCAUCUCUUCGGCAAAUAUUUGGUAAUUUGCUGACCCUGUUGUAGAAGGUAAGGGUGUUCAAGUUGGCUAUUUUCUUUUUUAAAAAGUGAAUCGCUUCAUAUCAGUCUGCUUAUCUUUCACUUAUCCUUUUCUUCAUAAUAAUAUCUUAAGGAAUGUACACACACACAUCUAGUUAUCUGAGACUUUGGUUGAUUGGACCAUAGUUAGCCACUGAAUAGGACCAUCGCACAGAGGAUUAUGUCUUAAACAUUCCCCCUGAAUUCUCUGUUGACAAGAUGGGAGAUAUACCAUGGGUCACUUGAUCCUUUUUACUUCAUUUAGAACAUGAAUCUUGAGGCCAAGAGGCAGAAAACAGUCCACUAACACAAUUGGCAACUAGACACAAAACAAUUCAGUGAUGGGUUUAAAAAAAUGACCUCAAUUUUAAAAAAUAAUUUUUAAAACUUCAAUGACCAAUUAGUUACAGCUUAACUUGUUAUGUAUUUUUGAGCAGGGAGUGAAUGGAACACAAAGAAGAGUACGCCGAGAAAUAUGUUCCAUAAGCUAAAUACAGAG
RNAcentral lists this long non-coding RNA (1187 nucleotides) under Ailuropoda melanoleuca (giant panda). Its description in RNAcentral is "lncRNA (ENSAMEG00000029127.1)". The record is from RNAcentral. Lineage: Eukaryota; Metazoa; Chordata; Mammalia; Carnivora; Ursidae.